GUGGGGAAUAUUGCACAAUGGGCGAAAGCCUGAUGCAGCAACGCCGCGUGAGCGAUGAAGGCCUUCGGGUCGUAAAGCUCUGUCCUCAAGGAAGAUAAUGACGGUACCUGAGGGGGACGCCCCGGCUAACUACGUGCCAGCAGCCGCGGUAAUACGUAGGGGGCUAGCGUUAUCCGGAAUUACUGGGCGUAAAGGGUGCGUAGGUGGUUUCUUAAGUCAGAGGUGAAAGGCUACGGCUCAACCGUAGUAAGCCUUUGAAACUGGGGAACUUGAGUGCAGGAGAGGAGAGUGGAAUUCCUAGUGUAGCGGUGAAAUGCGUAGAUAUUAGGAGGAACACCAGUUGCGAAGGCGGCUCUCUGGACUGUAACUGACACUGAGGCACGAAAGCGUGGGGAGCAAACAGG
This 404-nucleotide ribosomal RNA is filed under the name uncultured bacterium. RNAcentral's name for it is "bacterial SSU rRNA". It matches the Rfam family "Bacterial small subunit ribosomal RNA", at positions 354 to 776 of the family's 1533-position model. The record is from RNAcentral.